Molecule: transfer RNA, 91 nt
Filed under: Mycobacterium cookii
Lineage: Bacteria; Bacillati; Actinomycetota; Actinomycetes; Mycobacteriales; Mycobacteriaceae
Description: tRNA-Ser
Source: RNAcentral
GAUUUCGUACAGCGUGGUCUGCGCCGGCCAGGACAGCCGGUAGGGACGGGCAUCGAGUCCCGACGCCAGGAUCACCACCUGGCGAACUCCC